AUUAUUACCCUCUCUCCGAUACAAGCCUUUUCUUUCCUUCGCCCUCACCUCUGCUCUGUGAAAGCCGCCUCUCUCUAGCUCGCCCUCUUGUCAGCUCUAUAAUGUCCGCAUCUUUCUCGCUCGCCCUCUCGUCAGCUCUAUAAUGUCCGCAUCUUUCUCGCUCGCUCAUCUCUUCUUUGCGCUCUCCUCUCGGUCGCCCUCUUCUAUCUCAACGAACCUUCUGGCAAUAACAUACGCCACCCACACCAGGGAAAAUUCUUGGGCAUCAAUCGCUGAGUGACCUCUAGAUUGUAUCCUUAAUUUCUUUGAAUAAAUCAAACCCUUAUCAUGAGUAAACCCAGUAUUUUUCUUUGAUGUCUAAAAUAAUACCAAAGUUUGCUAUUAGAUAUCAAAAUAGAAUUUGAGUGUGAAGCCCUUUGUUUCACAAUGCUAGAUGCAAAAUCAAUGAGUAGAAAAAAAAUUUUUACUCAAUAAGUCACCAUAGGAAAUGCUUAAAAAGGUUCAUAUGGGAGAGAGAAAAUUUUUUAGGGCAUCAUGUGUUUGUUUGAAUGAGAUCAUUGCAUUCAAGGCUUUGGAUUUUGAUAAUACGAACAAUAACUUUAUGAGCCUUUUGGUUUUAUACCUUAUUGCAUUUUUUUUUCUCAUUUUUGAGAAUACAAACACACGUUCUCAUUUUUUUUUUUUUUUGGAGUAUUUGUAUUUGAUAUUAUUUAUAUUUUUUUUUAUAAAAUUCGUCAAGGAGUUAUUAAUUAGCUAAAUUUUAUGAGUUGAUGUUGUUAUUACUAUCUUUGGUACUAUUUUAUUCAUUUUCCAAUGGAAUUCAAUGUUUUUUUUUUAAGAUUAUUACCUUUUUUUAUUUUAGGAUGUAUGGAAAUGUUCAUUUUUUGACUCUUUACUGAGAGUCAUCGCAAUCUUGCACUUUUGGAUGUGGUAGACAUGUGUACAAAUACAUGGGUCUAUAAACAUCCUUCAUCAAACAUGAUUCUGUAAUUUGUUUUAGUUUUAUUUGUAUAGGUUAUUGAGAUAGUAUAUAGAAAGAAAGAUGUGCCCAUAACUGACUUGUAAUGUUUCUUAGACCAAAAUUUUUUGGGGGUUACUUCUAUUUCUAGUCCAUCAUCUUAAUCAAAUUUUAUUACAUAAAAGUGGGUUGUAACUUGGUUCAUUUCCAUAUUAUCUCUUUUGAGUUGGCUUUGCCUGGUUUUUUCGUCAUAAUCUUGGUAGAACAUUUGAAAGAACUGUCCAAGCAGUCCAACAUAUAUGAUAGGCUAGCGAGGUCACUUGCACCAAGUAUGUGUGAGCUUGAAGAUGUAAAGAAAUGUCUUCUUUGUCAGGCUUCACCUUCUUGUCUUAGCUUUUCAUUUACGUUGUUUUUUUUUCCCUCAUAAUUUGGAUGAUUAUGUUUAUAGCAUACAUUCCUUACAUUUGAUGUCACAGCUAUUUGGUGGGAAUGCUCUAAACUGCCAUAUGGGUCUAAUUUUCGCCUUAUUUGGAUGAUUAUGCUUAUAGUGUACAUACCUGAUUGCAUUUUUUUUUUCUCAUUUUAAUGGUUCUCAAUUUGUUUUUUGGAGUAUUCGUAUUUGAUCUUAUUUAUAUUUUUAAUUUAUAAAAUCCAUCAAGGAGUAAUUAAUUGGCUAAAUUUUUUGAGUUGAUGUUUUCAUUACUAUCAUUAGUACUAUUAUGUUCCUUUGUUUUUUCUUUGACAUUAUUACCUUUUUUUAUUUUAGGGGUAUAGAAUUGCUCAUUUCUAGGCUUUUUGUUGCAAUCUUGCAUUCUUUGCCUAUAAACAUGUAAUUAUGAUUUAAAUGCACAAUAGAAUGCACUUUUUUAGGGGUAUUCUUAAUAUUGGUUUCUGACAGGUUUAGGAUCUGAUACUGAUCAUAGCAUGUUAUCUGGUUUAAUUUUGGCAAUGAUUGCAUAUGUAUGGCACCCAGCUUUCCCAUUUUGCUUAUGCAUGGCAAUGGUUGCUUAUGUAAGGUGAUGGUUUAAUAUAGUACAUUUGUUGUUUUUAUUGUCUGAUAGAGAAAUGAGCUUUAUCCUAAUUGGGUUCUUGACUUGUUUCCCUAAGGCGAAUAUGACUCUGUUUCUCUAGCCUGAAAAUGAUUUGCCUAAGUUCCUCUUGGAAUUCUUAGCUUUCUUCACUGGCUUACUGCAUUAUGUGUUGUAGUGACCUACAUCAUCGUCAUCACCCAAGCCUUAUCCUAAUGAUUUGGGGAUAGAUGCAGUGACCUACAUCAAUACUGAAAACUAAAUUUCUUUGAUUAGAGGAUAUGUUGAUUUUCUACUACAUGAUUGGUACUAAUUGUAUGCACUGUUUUACUUGUUUAUUGACUGUAGCAAGCUACACAGGCUGUUGCUGCCUCAGAUAGAAGAAAGAGAGAGAAGAGAUCUCUUAGAUACAUUACCACUGCAAAAGAUAGGAGCUUAACUCUUGCAAAGAAAUUUUGAAUAUUGAACUAUGCCUAGAUGUACUAUAUGUGUGUCGUGGACGCCUCACCAUCAGCGUGUCCUUUCCAUCCAGUCGACAUUACUUGUUCUCUUACAGAGCCAUUGAGGAUCUCGAAUCGAGUUGACAAAUUGCAAGAGUGGAUUCGUAUGAAGGAUAUGGCAACUUGGAGAGCUUCAUUUACACAUAUGCAUAAUGGAAUUUUUAUAUUGACUAAUUUUCUAAAUUUUAGAGAUAUAUAAAUAUCCCUUUUUAUAAUU
Molecule: long non-coding RNA, 2703 nt
Organism: Amborella trichopoda
Lineage: Eukaryota; Viridiplantae; Streptophyta; Magnoliopsida; Amborellales; Amborellaceae
Source: RefSeq, a predicted model, not a curated record